GAACACACGAUCUAUGAAAAACUCUGCGAAUCGUUUUGUACAGCGAGGGAUCGUGCCCGGAGGCACGAUCGUCGAUGCUCGAGUCGGGCUUCAUGUGCGUCUGCCGUGACCCUCUCGUUUGGUGCGUGGCGGGAUUAAGUGAC
RNAcentral lists this ribosomal RNA (143 nucleotides) under Prionolejeunea magnistipula. RNAcentral describes it as "partial 18S ribosomal RNA". Lineage: Eukaryota; Viridiplantae; Streptophyta; Jungermanniopsida; Porellales; Lejeuneaceae. The record is from RNAcentral.